This 497-nucleotide ribosomal RNA is filed under the name uncultured bacterium. RNAcentral's name for it is "partial 16S ribosomal RNA". It matches the Rfam family "Bacterial small subunit ribosomal RNA", at positions 28 to 507 of the family's 1533-position model. The record is from RNAcentral.
GAUGAACGCUGGCGGCGUGCCUAAUACAUGCAAGUCGAGCGAACGGACGAGGAGCUUGCUUCUCUGAUGUUAGCGGCGGACGGGUGAGUAAAACGUGGAUAACCUACCUAUAAGACUGGGAUAACUUCGGGAAACCGUAGCUAAUACCGGAUAAUAUUUUGAACCGCAUGGUUCAAAAGUGAAAGACGGUCUUGCUGUCACUUAUAGAUGGAUCCGCGCUGCAUUAGCUAGUUGGUAAGGUAACGGCUUACCAAGGCAACGAUGCAUAGCCGACCUGAGAGGGUGAUCGGCCACACUGGAACUGAGACACGGUCCAGACUCCUACGGGAGGCAGCAGUAGGGAAUCUUCCGCAAUGGGCGAAAGCCUGACGGAGCAACGCCGCGUGAGUGAUGAAGGUCUUCGGAUCGUAAAACUCUGUUAUUAGGGAAGAACAUAUGUGUAAGUAACUGUGCACAUCUUGACGGUACCUAAUCAGAAAGCCACGGCUAACUACGUG